CAGUGUCUCCUUGAUGCCGUGGCGCUCCUGGCCGCCUCUCCCGACGCCAUCCCCACGAACGCCUUCUCCGACACCGUCUCCGCUCCGCCGUCUUCUCCGACGUCGUCAACUUCCCCUCGACAAGAGUGCAAAGUGGAAACAACACAUGAAGUCGACAUGGAGAAGGAAAAUGCAACUACAGUCCACAUGAAACUUGUGAAAAAAGAAUUAAAUCCCAAAGUUCCUAAUGAAGAGACUUGUAUUACAGUUUUAUGUUAUAUUGUCUAUCUAUUUGUGUGAAUGGAGAUGACCUUGAUGAAUGGAUUAGCUUCGCUAAUGCUUUAGUUUGCUGCUGCUGCUUCAGUUUGCUACUGAUGAUGCUUCUACUGCAAUUUACUACUUUAUUUUGCUCGACAAACUAUUGUGAUGAUGGAUAAAGUGUGAUGUGAUGAUGGAUGAACCAGUUUAUUA
Long non-coding RNA from Zea mays, 450 nucleotides. RefSeq lists it as uncharacterized. The record is from RefSeq and is marked validated. The transcript is spliced from 2 exons. Lineage: Eukaryota; Viridiplantae; Streptophyta; Magnoliopsida; Poales; Poaceae.